This 252-nucleotide ribosomal RNA is filed under the name uncultured microorganism. Its description in RNAcentral is "partial 16S ribosomal RNA". It matches the Rfam family "Bacterial small subunit ribosomal RNA", at positions 524 to 776 of the family's 1533-position model. The record is from RNAcentral.
UACGUAGGUCCCGAGCGUUGUCCGGAUUUAUUGGGCGUAAAGCGAGCGCAGGUGGUUUAAUAAGUCUGAUGUAAAAGGCAGUGGCUCAACCAUUGUGUGCAUUGGAAACUGUUAGACUUGAGUGCAGUAGAGGAGAGUGGAAUUCCAUGUGUAGCGGUGAAAUGCGUAGAUAUAUGGAGGAACACCGGUGGCGAAAGCGGCUCUCUGGACUGUAACUGACACUGAGGUGCGAGAGCGUGGGGAGCAAACAGG